Long non-coding RNA from Asparagus officinalis (garden asparagus), 859 nucleotides. RefSeq lists it as uncharacterized. The record is from RefSeq and is a predicted model, not a curated record. Lineage: Eukaryota; Viridiplantae; Streptophyta; Magnoliopsida; Asparagales; Asparagaceae. The transcript has 3 exons.
GUGCCUAUAAGAACUGCAGGCAAUACUGCAGUUUACCUAACCAUGUGAAUGAGGUUAAUGUAUCAAGUUCUUGUUUCAAUAAAUAAGUGCAAUUAUGAACCUUUUCUGCCGUCUCUUAGCUUGAGAUCCUGGCUGAGUUACACAAGGAAUUUUGUUGGUGCUGAGAAGUGGAGGCAUAGGGCUGACGUCAUCAUCAUCGGAAAAGGGAACUUUUGCUGUCGGUUAUUAGAUGUCUGAUUGAGGGUGUUUGCGAGUUGUGACAGGCAAAUAAUGUGUUUGAACAUUUUGUGACCAUUUUACAUUCCCUACGGUCAGUUAUUGUCUUGAAUGGGAAGGGAGCUGAAUUGGCAAAGCAUUGUGUACCUGCAGAUCCUACGAAGAGAAAGAUGAAAGAAAGCUUGUAUCGAAUAGGGUUCAGCUCCGAACCAGACCUCCAGAACAUCCUGCCACUAAUAUACAAUUAACCUAGAAGGAACCAACAUCAUGCGAGUAGUAACAAAAAGCCUAGCUCACAAGGGAGAAGCUUCAACAGAGGUAGGAAAUGCAUAUGAAAGCCUACUGCUGGGAGCCAAUGUCAGUCAUAUGACCAUGAAACUACACCUAAUGUGAGACGAAGACAAGUUAUAGAUGACCAAUCUGCAUCAACCAGUGAUAAUUCAGUAUGAAGAAUGUAUGAAUCGAAUCCUAGAUUUUCCUCAGAGAAACCAAAUGAGAGUGGACAGAGAUUGAGUUUAGUAUAUUAUUUAAGUCUUCAAAUGUUUGGUACACGAAUCUCUACUAUUUGUGGUGUAUUUGUCUAAACUAUCCCUGAAUUUAAUUUUAUUGUACAAACGUUGUGAAUUUUAAAAUUUUGUUCAUA